This 728-nucleotide unclassified non-coding RNA is filed under the name Hevea brasiliensis (rubber tree). Lineage: Eukaryota; Viridiplantae; Streptophyta; Magnoliopsida; Malpighiales; Euphorbiaceae. The record is from RNAcentral.
GACAUUACUAAGUUCUAAUGAACAAGGAACCAGGCAUUACCAUAAGCAUUUCCUAUCUCAUAUAUGCUUGAGAUAGAACAAACCAUCACCAAGGACAAUGCAAGAAGAAACCAGUUCAUCACCGGGAUAUAUAUCUGACCCAUGAACUUCCGAGAUGUAUGAAUAAUUUUAAGGCGAGGGAAGCAGCCGAGGGCUGUGGAUUGUUUAAUGCAAGAGAAAGUUGCGGUGGUCAUCGCUCUACUGGCUAUCAAUGCAGCUACAUUAGCAAUCAAGAAGAUGGGCCAGAAUACUCCACUUGGCACAGAAGAGAAGAAAGCCUGUGUUGUGUCGGCAUGGUUCUCCAUAAGAUACGCAGCUUGACCAAGGUAACCCAACAGAAGGCAUGGCAGCACAAGGAACACAAAGGUAAGCUGGACUGAUCUCACAGAAAAAUAACAAAGAUCUGCAAACAUUGCCUCGGAACCUGUUGCACAAAGAAUACAGCCUCCAAGUGAGUACCACACCUUUGUUGAAUUGCGCUUAAAGUAAUAGUAUAUAUGAACUGGAUUAAAUGCUCUCCAAACACUAGAAUCAUACUUAAUGAGGUUGUAGACGCCAAUGCCACCCAGGGAACAGAACCAUAUAAACAAAGCAGGACCUACGAAAUGUCCCAUUUUACUUGUCCCAUACUUCUGUACACUGAACAGAAUUACGAGAAACGCCACUGAUAUCAUCACAACUUGAUCUUG